This 205-nucleotide long non-coding RNA is filed under the name Setaria italica (foxtail millet). RNAcentral describes it as "long non-coding RNA (SITA_LNC000367)". Lineage: Eukaryota; Viridiplantae; Streptophyta; Magnoliopsida; Poales; Poaceae. The record is from RNAcentral.
GGUGACGCACGCAAAAAAAAAUAAUGAUAUGAGCCAAAAUUUACAUGUAGAUAAAUGGACACUUACAGAACCCAAGCGCUGAUCAGAGAGACGUCCAGGGCAUCAUGAUGGUACACUUCGUAUAUAUCCUGGAAGUCAAACCACAGAACUUUCUCGCCUUCACCGUAAAAAUCUAUCGGUUUUACCUUAGGGCCCAACAUCUCCC